Molecule: non-coding RNA, 218 nt
Organism: Pelobates cultripes (western spadefoot toad)
Lineage: Eukaryota; Metazoa; Chordata; Amphibia; Anura; Pelobatidae
Source: the annotation of a GenBank genome assembly
UCAAUGAGCCCAGCCAUCCCCGGAGUGCACCAUGUACAGUGUGUGAGAGGUCUACAGAGGGGAUGCUACAUGUUUCCUGCUAGGUCUCCAGCCAUUUAAAGUUUAGAACCCGAGCCAGCACAUGCGUUCUCCAAUGGUCAGCAGAGAUGCUCUCGCACUCCAAGCUCUGCACAAUUUCUUAGGCCAAGCGGCUCUGCGAUGACACGCUGCGGCUUAUA